Molecule: ribosomal RNA, 553 nt
Filed under: uncultured bacterium
Lineage: Bacteria
Description: bacterial SSU rRNA
Rfam family: Bacterial small subunit ribosomal RNA
Source: RNAcentral
AAUAGAUACCCCGGUAGUCCACGCCGUAAACGAUGGAUGCUAGCUGUUAUGCGUAUCGACCCGUGUAGUAGCGAAGCUAACGCGUUAAGCAUCCCGCCUGGGGAGUACGAACGCAAGUUUAAAACUCAAAGGAAUUGACGGGGACCCGCACAAGCGGUGGAGCGUGUUCUUUAAUUCGAGGCUAAGCGAAGAACCUUACCAGGGCUUGACAUCCUUGGAAUUUCUCCGAAAGGAGAGAGUACUUUAUUGGACCAAGUGACAGGUGCUGCAUGGCCGUCGUCAGCUCGUGUCGUGAGAUGUUUGGUUAAGUCCAUUAACGAGCGCAACCCUUAUGAAUAGUUGUAUUUUUCUAUUCAGACUGCCCCGGUAACGGGGAGGAAGGGGGGAUGAUGUCAGGUCAGUAUUGCCCUUACGCCCUGGGCUAGAAACGCGCUACAAUGGCCGGUACAAUGCGCUGCCAACCCGCGAGGGGGAGCAAAUCGCAUCAAAGCCGGUCCCAGUUCGGAUAAGAGGCUGAAACUCGCCUCUUGAAGCCGGAAUCGCUAGUAAUCGU